GAGGAGGGUAUCCCUCACUGAAUUGCUCCUCCCAAGGUUUCUUCAAUUUUUCUCCUCUGCUAAUAACACCUGCAGCAUCAGAGCUGUUGUCCUUGCUGGGAAAUACAGGGGGAAGCUGGGAAGUUCCAACACUUUGUAGUAAUGACAUCUCCGUUUACAGAGCUGGAGCUGCUGACGAUUGUCUUCUCUCUGUUGGUCUUUGGUCUCUGUACUCUUACUGGCAUGAUAAGAGAGGAGUGCUCACACACACAGGGAACUACAUUCUCAAAGAGAGUGGUCAUUGUCUGACUCUUGGACAGGAAGCUGUCACACAAAUCUGCACAAGUCCCCGAAAAAGCUUCAGUGAUGUGUACAACUGCACAGCUUCAUCCAAUCAAAGACAAGCAUACGUGCUGAACACAGCCUGAAUACACAGAUACGGAAUAGCGUAUAAUUAGGGAAUGAGUGGAUGUUGAAGUGGUUUGUGUGUGUGUGUGUGUGUGUGCUUGUCUGAGUGUGGACUUUGCUCAAGGAUGUACAAGCCCUCUAGGAUCAAGCAUAGGAGUGGUUGGUGAUGUCAUAAAUUAUAAUAAACAAACACUUUUUAACACAACCAUUUGUAAACAUUAGGUAUUUUUUCACCACGAAGCAGGUAAUGCAACAUACCCAGGUAGGUUAACUCCCCAGCUGACACCCAACUUUGCCAGUAAGUUGCUGCAACAUGUCAGCUGGAAAGUUAACUUUACCGGUUAACUUAACUUACCAUGUGUGUCCAUAUUCAUGUGUGUGGGAUCAACAAAUUUAUCUCUAAAACAGGUAAGAACCUUUCUGUUAUUUGUGGCAUCUGUUGGAAAUGAGUGAACUGUUUUGUUUCCUGUAAUUUUCCGUGAAAUAAUGUGCUGCAGUGGAAUGUGACCUGUAGUGUAACAUUGGACUGGAGUGUCCUUUUCUUCACCUCGAUGAAAAUGAAGGACCUUGUUCAUCGUUUGGAGGUUAUUUCAAAAAGCAGGGUUAAUAUACUCUGAGGUAGACAGUUUCAGUAGUCCAGUUAGUUCAUUCAACUCGGAGAAGCCUGAGUAAAGCCCGCGCACACCGGUACAAAAAUCCCUCAUUAAUGAAACACAGAUAACACUAUUCAUCCUAAACCAAAAAUAAUUGUAGCAUAUUGUAUCUCUGACUACCUGACAAUCUCUCUCCGUGUUCGUGUUCCGAUCUGAGAGAGCAUGUCCACAUCGUCAUACAAACGAUGUAAGGGCACAAACGGAGAUCUGUGCAUCAAAAGAUAGCUCUUUUGAGAAAAGGACAUGACUUGAGUGAAUUUAAAUAACUGUAUUUGUAUCACUUUCGUAAGUGGGUUCAGUUAUGGCCAAAACUACUCGGAGUCAUUAAACAUUGUGCGCAGCAGCUGUAGACAAUAGCCCUUCCCUGUGGUUGACAAUAGUACUGCAACUGAACCUCAGCUGUUUGAGUUAACUUUCAUCUUCAUCGCCUUCAUCAUCGUCUUCAUUUAUAGCCUGGCCUCAAUUUGCACACAGCCAGCUAAAGAAACACAUCUAUGGAAGGCAAAGGAGAAGUUCCAAAGCUUUUCAAAGAGAAAGAAAACAGUGAUCUUCAAACAAGCAACUCCACAAGGGCCUUGAAUCAUUCACACAGACACAGGAACAAACUCUUAACAAUGUAAAGACAAAUACACCAACGGUUGCAACUCUGCGGUAACGGUUUAAACUCUGGACUAGGCCUAACUGAUUGUUGCAGUGUCAUUUGUUAGCCACUAGGGAGGUUUCUUUACAAUAAAUGUGUUCAUCGUGGUUUGAUCCCCAUGCAUGUGGUAGUCAUGUGAACCUUAGAAGGUUACAAUAAAUCCCUUGGCAUUCGUCGACAGUUGAAGCGUUCGAAUGAAUCAAUGUGAGGGUUCCUUCUGCCUCUCUGCCCUCCCCCCCACCCCCCCCCCCCCCACACACACACACACAGGGCCAGAGUGGGUGCCUACAAACUUCUUGUGCAGGAAUAGUCUGAUUUGAUUCCAAAAGUCUUUACAUAGCUGAUCAUUGCUCCAGUGGUUUAAGACGAAGCAUCAGUAUUUGACAUGAUAACACAACAUAUGUAUCACGUGUAGGUGUGUGUGUGCAUGUGUAUUAGACGUGCAGACUUAUUCAUGUGCAUAUGUGUUCAUUGGUGUCCAUACUGAACAAUUGUAGUUGACGGGUCUUAAGACCAAUUAGUGCCUGACAGUCCUCAGCAGUCAUUAGGCUAGACGUCCUGGCUGCAUGACAAGAGACACACCAGUCUAACGAUGGGAAAUGUAACUGACUCACUAGGCACAAUCAGCACACAUGCACUCAUAGCACAAUUCAGCACACAUACGCACUCAACACAUCCCCCCGGAAAAUGUAAUGUCACAAUGCGAGCCAGAAUGCUGAAUUACUAAAGAAUUUAUAUUAAAAAUUAAUUAUUAUUAGAAAUUAUUAUACUGGUUGUCAAUAUGGGUUAUGUCAGUGUGUGUGUGUGUUGGUGUGUGUGUGUGUGUGUGUGUGAGUGAGUGUGUUUGAGUGUAUGUAUUCAUUGUGAUUGGUUGGUAGUGUGCCAUUGGGUUUGAUGACUGACCUGUUCAAUUGAAAUGGUUUGGGUCAAAGUACAUGUGUGUGUGUGUGUGUGCAACCAUAGGGAGUAUUUGAGGAGCCGAGGUAAUCCCUGUUGUAGACAUACAAUUCAUACGAAGUGCCAACAUUACAACACACACACCCAUACACCCGACCCGCCGUCAGGGCGGUCUAAGGGUACAGAUGACCAUGGGCCAUUUCAAUAUAAUUUAGUACAACAAUUUACUGACAUAUCAUUGAUAAUACAUUGUAAUGGGGAAAAUGUGUGUCAGACAGCCAGUGAGAGAGAGACAGAGAGAAAGAGACAGACAGACAGACAGACAGACAGACACACAGAGUCUGGAAGAGAUAUGGCACCAGUCAGUGUUGUAGCCAUGGCUACCAGGUGGCUCUAAAUGACAAAGGGUCCACGAUUAGCAUAUUCAAAUAAGGAGUAUAAAAGUUUUCUAAGACAAAAGCAGCCAGAGAGCAAACUGCAGCUUUGCAGUGAUGGAAAUAACCUAAGUCCUCAGCAUGGCCACGAACAGAUAGAAUCCACGUGUGCCUGUGUGUGCCUGUGUGUGCCUGUGUGUGCCUGUGUGCCUGUGUGUGCGUCCAUAAGGAAUGUCUGGCACUGUGAGGGACAUUUUUGCAAACACCAUAAAGCAAUAAAAAUAACAUUUUCUAACGGCACACACACACACACACACACACACAGAGAGAGAGGUACACACCACUCAAUAACACACCCCACCCUCCUCCCCUCUUUCUCCUUGUCUUUCUCACUUAAUGGUACAUGGGAGUUGAUGGUCCAGAUGCUUGUUCAAAGUCUUGGCAGCCAUCUUGUGCUCCUGGUCCAUUAGUGUCCUGCUGUUUCUCUAAUCCUCAUUCACAUGUAAUGACGAACAUUUCAUCUUACUGUGUUAAUUCAUUAGCAGACCAACUGAAUGUAGAGAGGUGCAGUCCACAGACCUGGCUGUUAGCACACACGCUAAUGAGUCCUGUACUUUGCAAAGACACUGGGUGACAUAGGGUUAACACUGUCAGUCCGUCAUACUUGCUCCACCUUAUCAACUGUAGACCGUGUUACAAAAAGACACACAAUAAGAGAAUGCCAAGCUCAUCCAAUAAAAAUGACAACAAUCAACAUAUCUACAGUGAACAGUCAGAAUAGAUUGGAUUUGCACGCACGCACACACACCCAACCACACACACCCAACUACACACACGUGCAGAGACAUGGAUAGACCUAAAAAGCGGUCCCAGAUGCUCUAGUGUUCUCCUAGGUGGACCCAGACUGUCGUUAGUUAGUUCAAUGCAGCGGUUGGACUCUCAACACUCAAGAGGUGAACAGCCGGCCUUAACCCCCUGGCCUUUCUCUCUUUCCACCCAGCCAAGGCCUCAUCCCCUCCAGCCACGAGAUGUGGAAGGCCC
Molecule: long non-coding RNA, 3992 nt
Organism: Hypomesus transpacificus
Lineage: Eukaryota; Metazoa; Chordata; Actinopteri; Osmeriformes; Osmeridae
Exons: 5
Source: RefSeq, a predicted model, not a curated record